RNAcentral lists this long non-coding RNA (401 nucleotides) under Selaginella moellendorffii. RNAcentral describes it as "long non-coding RNA (SMOE_LNC000700)". Lineage: Eukaryota; Viridiplantae; Streptophyta; Lycopodiopsida; Selaginellales; Selaginellaceae. The record is from RNAcentral.
AACGCUCAGACUUUUCAUGGUGGCGCUCAAGGCACGCGGCGACUUAGCAGAGAAGAGGCUCCACUCGCAGAUCCAGGACGGAAUCCACUACUCACGUGCUCGCUCAGUGUAGAGACAUGCCUGCCAUUCGAGAAGUUUUCCGCCCCAAGUUCAGAAGUACUCUGGUGUCACUGUCACGAUGACACACUUCUCAUUUGGAGUAACUGGAGAGUGCCCUACGAAGCAUGAUGGUCAUAGGUAUUAUAAUUUUUCACUAGUUCAUAGCUUUUUUGUUUUGUUUUAUAACCUUCACAAGGUAUUUAGUUUACGCGAUUCUUUCAAGCUAGUUAGAAGUCCCUAUCUUUAAGCUGUUUUGAGGAAAUUGAAGCUUGGCAAUGAAAAGUUGUGGAAGCUUUGGAGCU